Molecule: ribosomal RNA, 491 nt
Filed under: uncultured bacterium
Lineage: Bacteria
Description: partial 16S ribosomal RNA
Rfam family: Bacterial small subunit ribosomal RNA
Source: RNAcentral
AGUGAACGCUGGCGGUAGGCCUAACACAUGCAAGUCGAACGGCAGCACAGUAAGAGCUUGCUCUUACGGGUGGCGAGUGGCGGACGGGUGAGGAAUACAUCGGAAUCUACUUUUUCGUGGGGGAUAACGUAGGGAAACUUACGCUAAUACCGCAUACGACCUACGGGUGAAAGCAGGGGAUCUUCGGACCUUGCGCGAUUGAAUGAGCCGAUGUCGGAUUAGCUAGUUGGCGGGGUAAGGCCCACCAAGGCGACGAUCCGUAGCUGGUCUGAGAGGAUGAUCAGCCACACUGGAACUGAGACACGGUCCAGACUCCUACGGGAGGCAGCAGUGGGGAAUAUUGGACAAUGGGCGCAAGCCUGAUCCAGCCAUACCGCGUGGGUGAAGAAGGCCUUCGAGUUGUAAAGCCCUUUUGUUGGGAAAGAAAAGCAGCAGGUUAAUACCCCGCUGUUCUGACGGUACCCAAAGAAUAAGCACCGGCUAACUUCGUG